UUUAAUUCGAAGCAACGCGAAGAACCUUACCAGGUCUUGACAUACUCAUAAAGGCUCCAGAGAUGGAGAGAUAGAUAUAUGGGAUACAGGUGGUGCAUGGUUGUCGUCAGCUCGUGUCGUGAGAUGUUGGGUUAAGUCCCGCAACGAGCGCAACCCUUAUCGUUAGUUACCAUCAUUAAGUUGGGGACUCUAGCGAGACUGCCAGUGACAAGCUGGAGGAAGGCGGGGAUGACGUCAAAUCAUCAUGCCCCUUAUGACCUGGGCUACACACGUGCUACAAUGGAUGGAGCAGAGGGAAGCGAAGCCGCGAGGUGGAGCGAAACCCAGAAAACCAUUCUCAGUUCGGAUUGUAGUCUGCAACUCGACUACAUGAAGUUGGAAUCGCUAGUAAUCGCGAAUCAGCAUGUCGCGGUGAAUACGUUCUCGGGCCUUGUACACACCGCCCGUCACACCAUGAGAGUUGAUAACACCCGAAGCCGGUGGCCUAACCGCAAGGAGGGAGCUGUCUAAGGUGGGAUUGAUGAUUGGGGUGAAGCGUAACAAGUAGCCGUAASYUCACAUCGAAUUC
This 568-nucleotide ribosomal RNA is filed under the name uncultured bacterium. Its description in RNAcentral is "bacterial SSU rRNA". It matches the Rfam family "Bacterial small subunit ribosomal RNA", at positions 945 to 1533 of the family's 1533-position model. The record is from RNAcentral.